Molecule: ribosomal RNA, 502 nt
Filed under: uncultured bacterium
Lineage: Bacteria
Description: partial 16S ribosomal RNA
Rfam family: Bacterial small subunit ribosomal RNA
Source: RNAcentral
UGGGGAAUAUUGCACAAUGGGCGAAAGCCUGAUGCAGCAACGCCGCGUGCGGGAUGACGGCCUUCGGGUUGUAAACCGCUUUCAGCAGGGACGAAGGUUUUCUGACGGUACCUGCAGAAGAAGCACCGGCUAACUACGUGCCAGCAGCCGCGGUGAUACGUAGGGUGCGAGCGUUGUCCGGAAUUAUUGGGCGUAAAGAGCUUGUAGGCGGUCCGUUGCGUCGGAAGUGAAAACUCAGGGCUUAACCCUGAGCCUGCUUUCGAUACAGGCGGACUUGAGGGAUGUAGGGGAGAACGGAAUUCCUGGUGGAGCGGUGGAAUGCGCAGAUAUCAGGAGGAACACCAGCGGCGAAGGCGGUUCUCUGGACAUUUCCUGACGCUGAGAAGCGAAAGCGUGGGGAGCAAACAGGCCUUAGAUACCCUGGUAGUCCACGCCGUAAACGGUGGGCACUAGGUGUGGGACCCAUUCCACGGGUUCCGUGCCGUAGCUAACGCAUUAAGUG